AACAAUUCUCAGGGCGGGGUGAAACUCCCCACCGGCGGUAAAUAGUGCCGUGAGCCGUUCUCACCCCCACUAAAGCCCGCGAGCGCCCGAACGCAAUUUCGGGGUCAGCAGAUCUGGUGACUUAGCUUGUCUCGUUAUGGUUAACGCCUAUCGAGCGCUACUAUUCCAGAGCCGACGGUAAUGGACUGUUUGCAAACAUUGCAACGGUACUGAGUCCGGAUGGAAGAGAAUGUAA
RNAcentral lists this non-coding RNA (235 nucleotides) under Shewanella sp. MR-4. Its description in RNAcentral is "FMN riboswitch (RFN element) as predicted by Rfam". It matches the Rfam family "FMN riboswitch aptamer (RFN element)". Rfam says of the family: The RFN element is a highly conserved domain that is found frequently in the 5'-untranslated regions of prokaryotic mRNAs that encode for flavin mononucleotide (FMN) biosynthesis and transport proteins. This element is a metabolite-dependent riboswitch that directly binds FMN in the absence of proteins. The record is from RNAcentral. Lineage: Bacteria; Pseudomonadati; Pseudomonadota; Gammaproteobacteria; Alteromonadales; Shewanellaceae.